Molecule: long non-coding RNA, 18334 nt
Organism: Aedes albopictus (Asian tiger mosquito)
Lineage: Eukaryota; Metazoa; Arthropoda; Insecta; Diptera; Culicidae
Exons: 2
Source: RefSeq, a predicted model, not a curated record
AACAAUGAUAAUUCUAUUGCAAAAAUCGAAACCGAUACGAUGGUUUGCUCUGCCGCAAAGAGUCGACCGAUCCGAUCGCGCGUUGGCUGACAACUGAAACUGAAAGUUUGAAUCGUAUAGUGGAUCAUCUUGAUUAUGACUUUCGUUAUUUUUUUUUUCAAAAGUAUUACUUGAAGAAUUUUUAUCGAAAUGGCUGAAGCAAUCCACAGGCCGUUCGUAGAGAAAUAUUCGUCAGAACCCAUCAAACAAAAUCCCCGGAGAAGCAUGCCAAAUGCUACGGGAUUCGUGAAAAAAACGGUGCCGAGUUCCUUAAAGAAUUUCAGUGUAUAUUCAAAAAUAAUACCUGAUACAAUUUUUUUAGAAUAAUUUUUAAAAUAUGCAUAAAUUUGAAUACGAUACUCUAGAGGAAUUAGCAUAAAAUUAGAUACAAAAAUUCUUAGGUAUUAUUGCUUGGAACCAGUCUUGCGAAUAAUCGCGACCAUCACGAGACAAUCACUUGAACCGCUUUCUGGUGUCACCCUUCCCAAGGUGAUACGAACCAGCUAGCAUGUCAUGCCUGGAAUGACAAACAUGUUGUGGGUUCCACCUUUGGCAGCUUUGCAGCGAUAGCAGUUGCUGAGUAUGCUUCAGGCGGGUUGCUAGAGAAUCAAUCUCUCUGAGCAACGAUGCAUAACGGGCGAAGUGAGAGCGUUUGCCGUAGCCAGGGCGAACUGCGUGGUGCGCUCAAUGUGUGCGUUUAAACUGAGCUAUGCAAAACGAAUAGUAUUUAUGACGUAGUAUCGUGCUUGUGGUAAUACACAUGCAUAGUUUUACAUGCUGUUGCGCGUGCAUCUGCUUGAGGCGACGGAGAGAGUUAUAACACUCACAUGAGCCGUAUCCAAGUCAGGAUGAUUGUAGCAAAACAAGGGUGACCGGGUGACUGUAGAGAGAGAGCGAAUCAGAAACCGCAGAGACAGGGUGAUACAAGUUUGGUGUUUAUCAGCUUUUUUGUUGUACGCUGAUGCUUCACGACACUGCUUGGAACAUUCCAGUGAGACGGACACUCAAGAAAGCAUCUUUAGAUAGGAACCCUUCAGUAAGUGUAUCUGGAGGAAAUACUGAAAAAAUGCCUGAGCUACCUAUCGUAAAAUUCUUAAAGAACAAUAUUUAUUUUCUAGAGUCAUUUCAUUUUUUUUCAGAAAGUUAGUUUGAAAUUCCUUCCUGAAUUUUUUAUGAGUUCUCCAAGAAUUUCUCCGAUAAUUCUACUUGAAAUGCCAGCAAGGAAUCCCAUAGAAUUUUUCCCCGAAAUUUUCACUGGCAGUACUUGCAAUGAAUUUAUGCAUUUUUUAAGUUUUCUCAAGGAUUUUUCUAAACAAAUAUUUCUGGAAAUGAUCCUGGGAUAUGGAAUAUCACUCUGAAAAAUCCUGGGCAGAUGGUUAUUGGAACUGCCCUAACAGCCUCUGGUGCAUUGACUUUUUUGAGAAACUUGUGUUUUUCUAAAAUUAAAUAAAGACAACCAUCAUAUUUAUAAUAAUAAUAUUUGAGGAAUUGUUGCAGAAUAUUUUUAGAUGAACAUUUUGAAGAGUUUUCUUUAAUCUAAUUAAAAGUCCUAUGGUUAAUAGUCUCCGAAACUCUUUCAAACAUUUUCUCCAGCUUUUAAUUUCAGCGUUUCUACAAGAAUUUUUUAUUCAAAAACUUCACUGCCCUCGGACGCAAAAAUGUUACAUGGUAUAAUUUACGAACACGUGAUAAACGCAUUUGAAGUUUCAAAAUAAACUUUGGCUGUUGCCGCAUUUUUUUGACUAACGCAAAAAACUAUCGAAAUAAAUAUAUUUUUAUAUUUUGACAAAAUGUUUCAAAAAUACGUAUCAAAAUAUGGCGUUUGACAUAAAAAAACUCAUAAAUUCGAAAUGUAACAUAUGACAUUUAUACGUCUGACGGCAGUUCAGGCACUACGAAAGAAAUCUUUAGAAAAUUUUAUAGACGGAUUUUAGGAAAAUUCAAAAAAUGGGUGUUCACCAGGAUCUCCGAACAAUAUCAGAAGAUUUUUAGAAGGCACAGAUUCCUAUCUACGCGAAUAGACGUUUUCCAGAGAAUUAAAUGGUUUAACUGCAUACAGUAUUGUCACAAUGAUGCAAAUCAGCAAAACCCAAUUCCGGGCCAAAUCCGUGAAAUCCGCGUAGUUGUAACAAUCCUGCAUUUAUUAUUAUAGAUGAAUACAUUCAAUAAUAACGGAAUCGUUCUUGUAGCAAAAUGAUAAAAAAGAAGAGGAAAAUUCAUAAACAGUCUUUACUCUUCAUAAGAUUGAGCUUACGUCUACAUUUCCAAGGUCCCAGGAUGGUGGGAUAGUAGGGAAGGUUUCUUAUGGAACAGGAUUCAGCUUAGCUUAGAGACUGAUUGCACGGUUGUUACUCCGUGAUUGACAAGACAAUUGCACAAUGAAUCAACUGAAUGGUUGACUAGAAGUGGCCUUAACCAUUCUCGCUGUGUAAGCUUCAGAGGCUCUCUUUAGCGGUAACGCUCUUUGUAGUGAAGCCCGAAAAAUUUUGUAUGGGUCGUAACGCUACGCUGGACUCCCCCCCCCCUUAAAUAACUUAAAUUGUCUGCAGUUUUGAGUAGUUCAUAAACGCUAGACUGAAGGAACUCUACUAAUUCAAACAACAAGUUGCAAACAGAUAAUUUUAUUCAGCACGUUUUGUACAUUUAUCCAAAAUGGCCUAGUUGUAGAAAUGAGAGUGCUGAAAAAAAUCGAGUUUUACAGCGAGUUACAUACAAAAUUGUUUGCUCUUACGUUGUGAAAACUUUGUUCUCCCUACUGUUUUUUUUUUGCGUUCUUAGUCUACUUCCUUGUUUAAAAUGUAUGAACAAUCGUUUCUUUUUACAAAUCUCAAUUUCUCCAUGGUUUUGCCUGAUUAAACUUCAUUGAUCAAAAACUAACAUACCAAAAUUAUACGACCCAAAUAGGACUCUCCGUUCGCGAUUUAAGCGCCGCGCUACAUAUGUAUGCCACUGCAUUUUUAUAUAGAAUAGAUAAUGCAGCCAUCAUACUCAUUCUUCUGAUGAAGAAUGUAACCUAGAAAAAAUCCUACUAAAACAGAAUUUCCCACAAUAGCAAAACAUAUUGCUGGCAAUUUGUUUGAUAUACAGCUAUGUUCAUAAAAAUAGCAGUGAAAGCCGUUUUCCAUACAAAAUUACCAACUUUGGCUUUCUGUAACUUUGUUUAUGAGCGAUUGAGCUGAAAAUUUGACAGCGAACAACAAAUAUGGCAUUUCGUGAUCAAUCGAUCAAGUAUUGGUGCUAGUUUAUUAUACUUAAGUGGCCAUGCAAUAUCCGGAACCAUUCCGGCGAUAUUCCGGAUUGUGCUGGGGUCAGGGGGUUGCCAAAAUGACAAAAAGUGAUUAUUUCGUGAGUUAUUGUGUCGAAAUUUCUGUUGCGAACAGCGAAACACAACUGCUAUAACCAGAUUUGAAUAAAUUAACCUAUCCGGAUCAUCAUGACAGAUUCUGCUGGGCCGCAUUGAGGACAUUUCUGGUUUUUAACCUAAACAUGCCUUGUGACAUAUUAAUCUUCAUGAUUUCGAAUGAAUGAGUCAGCAACGAUAGCUUGAAGUCAGUAUCAACUAAUACGACCACCCUGGAACAUCUAGCACAGAUUCCACGGGGGUGUCAUCAGGGACAUUUCACGCCUGAUCAAUCUCGGCUAUUUCAGCUUGUUAAAAACUUAACAGUCAAAGUUAAACAGCUUCUACUUCAAACAAGGGACCAGCUCCGGCGGUGUGUUAGCUGCUGUAGCGAGUACUAAGAGAGACAAGCGUAACAGCGGCUAUUUUUUUGCUGUGUAGAUCAUAGAAUGGUUUUCCUGAUUUAACACGAUGUUUUAUUGUGAGAAUCUAACGUGGUAUUCAUGGCGAAAAGUUGCUGUAAACUUGAGUUUUAUGGAGUCUGAUACGUUCAAGAAAGGACGGCAUAAAAACAUGAAAAAAGCCAGAAGCUUUCUUUACUUUCACAGAAAUGAAAACUUUUCUAAGAAACUUAAGUUUAGGCUUAUCUGUGGGUGUUCAAUUUUAUGAAAACAAGAUAAAAAUGAAAGAAUAAAAACAUUGGAAUAACAAAAUCUUGAUAAGGAAAAUCGAAUAAACAAAUCCAAUAUCGUUUGGUAACCCCUGUAUCAACCACCGAAAGCAUCACGCCCCACGACGACAACGGCAGAGGACUCUUCUUGGAACAUGCGCUCGCGUUACGCUGUUCUGGCAAGAAUCCCCGGUUUUUCAGUGCGUUCACGUGACUAUCACAGCACAUUCACUUCCUCUCGUACCUAGUGUCACCGAAGGGUUCUCGAACAAAAAUGUGGCACAUGCGCAGAAGCGUAAAUGCCGUAUCCUGAAAGCUGGAAAGCUUUCUGUCGAUACAGCCCGGAUUAGCGCUAUCACAAGUUUUGAUAAGGUUAUGGGCUUUUACUCGUGAAUAGCGCCACUACGUGGCGACUAGCUUAACUCGAUUGUGACGUCGUCUUUCUAUCCACACCCACACAUUUACAAAUCAAGAAAUCAUCAAAAAAAAACUUCAUCAGAUUUUUUAUUCACUCCAAAGCAAGCAGAAGCGAGCGGAUGAUUAUGGAAAAUCCUUGCAAUGACAGAAAGGAAGCACAUUAGCAAAGCAUUCAUCGGGUGAUGAAAAGUGCUUACUGCAGAAGCAGAGAAACACCCAAAGCGUGAAUGUCCUUGCCCCCCAUCAGCAUAGUCAGAGUCACCCACUCCACAGUAAUAAAUAAGGGUGGGUGGGAGCUGAGGGAAAAAACUUGAAGAAACGGGAAAAUGAAGGGUCGCGAGGGAGGAUUGUUGGGAAUCCUCAUUAACCAUCGAACGACAGUUGACGGAAUUACAGGAGGUGAGGCGAUCGUAUCAGCAGCACCAACUUUGUGUCAAAGUGAAAGAGAGCUACUGGGUCUAAUUAACACGUAAUGACUACUGGCUGCGCUGGGUUCGGUGUUAACUUUCGGAAUCAACUUGAAAUGAAUUGGCGAUGAAGUUUUUCAAUUAUUUGUUUGACUUGCAUAUUGGGUGACCAAUGAGUGUGGGAUAGGUAUGGUCUUGGGCGGGGCGGUGAAUGGAGUGCAUACUACAAUAUAGAUUAUGAAAUGUAGGACGAAACCAUUUCAAAAGUGAACAAUAAAACUGAUAACAUGUUCAAAUGUGAACUGAUAAAACAUAGCAUGGAACAUGCACACACAUAAUUCAUAUCCACAGUUUCUCUUGUGAUCAAAAUUCAGUUGAGUGUGGUCGAAAAAGUCUGAAGCACGCCCAAUCCAUUCAGAACACAGAAUACUAAACAAAAAUUCACACGUUCAAAGUGAUUCAUUCAUUAACAGCAAUAAUGGCAUAUGUAAUUAGAAAACUGUGCUCUCGCCGGGUCACUUAUUUCGUUGGUUUGACCUAGACGUGCAAUAUUCAUAAUUCACCAUAUUGAACGCUUCGAUCGCUACCGUGUUGUUGCUCAUUCAAUGGACAUUUCGCGCGAGAUUACGUUCGAGUGCACUUCAACUUGACCGCCUCGCGCAGUCCGGUUCGACCUUCCCGGAAACUGUGGGAAUUUAUUCUUCCGCGAUGGUUCGCGCCACUAUAAAUUACUUCACUCGUUGUUGAUAUGAUUUACUGUACUUUCAUACUAAGGGUUCGUUGAAAUAUUAUUGUUUGAAUGUAAUUAGUGUUAUAUUUGGAUAAGCACUCGAAAACCAAAAACCGUCAAUUACAAAUCCAUAAACGGCUGCCCAGUGACCCAAAAGCUUUCGAACGGGAGAUUUCUCCCCAUAGGACCUUGCACACAGAGGUUGUUUUGCCUCAGGGACAACGCACCCACACACAACCGCUCGUAAAAUAACAUGUUGGUGUUUAAAUCAAUGUCUAUCCUCGAGGGGGUAAAAGCACACAAAAAAUGCCAAAACAAGCAUUAUGUUAUACUGUACUAUGUAUCGAUCAAACCGCACAUAAAAUAAACAAUCAUAAAUGCUCUCAUCUAUAUUUGCAUUUAUGAUCCGAUUUGCGGUUCUAACGAUGAUAUCCUCCCGCACCCAAAAGUCAACAAACAGCAAGCAGCGAUGGAAUGGAUCAACAGUGGUGGUUUUUGGGGAGCUAAUAAUAGUGGUUAACGUAGUAAUGUUUGUUUUUCUAAACAAAACAUAUGGAACGGAAUUUUACUAAACCAGCAUAAAUAUUAGAGGUCAAAUCGAAGCGUUCAGGUGAAAUGAUUGAGGCUUCCAUUAUGCUCAUAUGGCAACUAGUGUGAACCACACUGGACAAAUUGGUUUUGAAAUACGAUUCAGUUAUGGGAAUUCGGCAGAAAAGUUAAGCGACUUCCAUGUCGAUGGAAUAACUCACGCUUUGUGAAUUUGGCGUAGUGGGAUUCGAUCCUAGGUCCUCGGCGUAAAAGGCAUGCCCUUUAACUAUCGUACCAUUUUCGCUCCACAUUUAAGCAUAUUUUGUUAUUAAUUGAUUAAUUGAUUGAUUAAUUGAUUUAUUUGAAAACGGAGGAAAAAGAUGUUACCCAGACAACCAUGAGUCGAAUAAGGAUGCACGCUGUACAUCGUAUGAAGCCCUAUUUGAAAUCACUAUUGCAUAUAUGUACAGAAAAGGGACAAUUUUUAUCACAUACAUUCUGAUAUUCUGAUGUUUCAUAGCGACGAACUUUAUUUAUUCGCAAAAGCGUGCGAGCGAACUCGCAGAGUGUCAGUUGAUUCGCAUAGAUGCGUACAUCUUCAUUUAAGUCGAAGCAUGGCUGAUCGAAAAUAUUUUUUACCGUGCAGGCAAUGACUAAACUAUACAGUUUUAUAUUUUUUGGCAAAUCUCCUUUGUCAUGCAAAGUGUUAAAAAAUAUAAAUGCUUUAGUUUUGUCAUUGCUUGUACGGUAAAAAACAUUUUCGAUCAGCCAUGCUUCGACUUAAAUGGAGGUUUCAGUGUACUGCGAUUAUUAUAAGACUUCGCUUCUCUCUCUCUCUCUUCUUGGCGUAACGUCCUCAUUGGGACAAAGCCUGCUUCUCAGCUUAGUGUUCUAUGAGCACUUCCACAGUUAUUAACUGAGAGCUUCCUCUGCCAAUGACCAUUUUGCAUGCGUAUAUCGUGGGGCAGGCACGAAGAUACUCUAUGCCCAAGGAAGUCAAGGAAAUUUCAUUUACGAAAAGAUCCUGGACCGACCGGGAAUCGAACCCGUCACCCUCAGCAUGGUCAUGCUGAAUACCCGUGCGUUUACCGCCUCGGCUAUAUGGGCUAUAUGGGACUUCGCUUGAUACUUUUCUUAUUAGGGGUUUUGACCCCAUACCCGGCACUACAGGUAAACAAAAUUGUGCAUUACCUAAAUUCACAACAAAACGACCGUUUUCUUCCACUUCUUCCAUAUGAAUCAGAUAUCUUAUUGCGUAAACUUGUUGUUAAGAGUGAUUGAACGCGUUCACUGCUCCAAGUCCAGCGCCAAUUCUCGGCACCAGUGCUGAACUUCCAGCAAAAUCACUUCGGCACCCAAUUCUGUGCUGACGAAGUGCACUCACCUGCUUGUAAUAGUUGUUGUGAGCACUUGUGUGGCUUCAGAGUGAACGUGCAGCUCAUUGACUAUGAAUGAUUACAUACGGAAGUGCUUUUGGGAUAUAUGCGGCAAGUGAUAUUUUUUGCUGCGAGGUGCCGGGAAUUGACGCGGGUGCCCAAGUAAUUAGAAACCCUAUGUCAGUUUAUCUCGCACUGUUGUACGAACGAAAUCACAAAAAAGGUGAAAAUAAACUCGUUGAAGUCUUCAUACAAGCUAGAAUCGUUUAUGUUGACAUAAUGCGAUUUGAUACGUGAUAACAAUGAAAUGGAUGUUGUUGGACUGUGAAUGCAGUGCCAAAAAGCUACAAGAAAGUGGACAGCCAUUAUUAUGGUUACGAAGAAAGUUACAAAGUCAUCAUUUUUGUUUUGUUGGCCUGAUGGUCAACAAUUGGUGGCGCUAGUAAGAGAGGAGUAGUGAUAACUGUGCGGGAAAUCAUGCUUCGUUGUUUUUAACUCCAGAUAGCCUGCCGAAAACAAACACCACAGGUAAACCAUGUGCAUUCCAACAAACACUGAGGUGAGUUAGAAUGUCAUUGUAAUUACAUUCGCAUAAUAUGUUAUAUUACGUCGCAAUAGAGCACACCGUGCAUUGCAAAAGAUACCCGAGCAGGAAUGAAUAACUGACACAUAACUGCUGCAUAAUAAAGUCAGGUAUCAUACCAAGACAAGGUAUUGGCCGGUUACUCAGAUAUUGAAAAUAACUUAUUUUGGUAAUUUCUAGGUAUUGAUGAAAUACCUCGACGAGUUAUUGGCUUGGUGUUGAGGACUGUUUGAGGUAUUAUUAUGGAAAAAUCACUAUUUGUAUGAAAAAAUCACCGAUUAUUAUUUAGGUAUUGCCAUACCUGAUGUCAUUAUUUACGUGUUAUGCAUAGAAUACACACAAGUUAUUAUUUUAGGUAUUUUACCUCUUAUGCAGGGCUUCUCAAUAUCUCAUUCAGGUUGUAGGUAUUCGGUUUUCAUUCCUGAGUUUGGUAUUCUUCAGCUAUUUUCUCCUGCUCGGGUAUCGCUUCAAAUCAUAAAGCUUUAUUAUUUUUCCGGUCAUGCACGUAUAGGGCCUCCACUUUUGUACGCAUAAGGCUCUUUUUCUGCAUCUUAUGCGAUGUAACUUUGCCACAAAAAAGUACGUAUUACAUGGACAUAAACUUCAUUAUACGUGUAAAUUGGCUGUCUGGGUAGGUUGUCAAUAUAGCGCUUAAGAAAUUUACGUCAAGUUGUACGUGAAAGUUCUCCAAAAGAACUCUGAAAUUAAGAACUUCAUGAUAACCUAUCCGUAGACAAUCGCAAUGCAACUGGAAGUGAUCUACUACGUAUACUGAGAUUUGUAAAAUCCUCAGAACAUCCAGAAGUCGAAGUGGACAACGUUUUUAAGCGUAAAUGUAAAACUCAAAAGGCCAUUGAGAAAUAUUGAUUUUUGCACCUUACCGAGCGGUUUGAACAUUUUGAAUAACCACCGUAGCCUACGGGUUAAAACUAAAGCCUUUUGACACGCAGAGCACUUCAUACCAAUAAAUUGUUUUGUGGAGCACCCAUAGCACCAAAGCAUACCAUUUAUAUAUUUGCCCUAAUCUCAUACUUCCUUUUCUGACUUCAUUAGUUACCAAUAUCCCUCGUCUUGUCGAUGAUCACGAUGAGCGAAGUAUAUGGGGUGAUUCUCUAGCGAUAUUUUUUAGACUUAUCCUCAAAGCCUUCUAACAAACUUCUUUCAAGAUUUUUUAUCACUUCCUCACCGCGAAUUGUAAUAUAUUCCUGUGAUAUUUUUGGUAGAUGCUUAAUACUAUCUAGGCGUGUACACAGCUGAUUGAAUUGCAAAAUUUGUAGCAGGUUCAAUAUAAAGUUCAUUGCAAUGUUUCGGCAGAUGUGUAAUAAAUUAUUUCCAGUUUUUUUGGUAAAAUCAGAGCUAGUUAGUCAAGGUUCCCCGAUUUCAGCGCCCCUUCACUGGUACAUCCCCGUAGAUGAAUUACUGGAGGAAUCUCUUAAGGAAUCGCUUGACCAAUUCCUGAAGGAACUACUGGAACAACUUCUCAAAGAAUCCAUGGAAUUACUUUUUAAGAAAUUCCAGCCGAAAUUUCUGCAGUAAUUCUAGGAAUAUUGAAGAAUUCUCUUAAGAUAUUUCCGAAAGUAUCGCUGAGAGAUCCCCUAACAAAAAUCCUAAACAUUUUCUAAUGAAUUCCUGGAGAUACGCUUGGGGGAUUUUUUGACAAAAAAACAUAGAGGAAUACUCGGUGGAACUUCUGAUGAAAUGUGUGCAGGAAACCUCUGCUAGAAUGUCUUCCAGCAAUUUCGUAAGAAGCGAAGAAGCCUUAUAAGAAUCUUUGAAAGAAUCUGUAGAAAAAAAAAAUCUGAAAGAUUCCUUGCAGGAUUUUCUGAGACAUUCUUAAGAAAUCCUUGAAACAAUUUCUGGAAGGGAAACGUCUUGAAUCUGUUGUAGAGAUAAUAAAGCAAUCUUUGGAGGACAUUCUUUGGAAAGCAUCUGAGAAGGAGUUCUGAAUUACUAAUUGGGUAAAUCAGUAUUGAGCAUGAGCAUGAGCAUGAGCAUGAGCAUGAUUGAUUGCCCGCGGUUGCUCCUCUGUUAUUGCAAGGACAUCUGCAUUUACACAAAGAACCAACAGGUGAUGCUUGGGACUAGCUUUCUCCUCAUUGUGUAAAUGCUGGAAUCCCAAUACUUUUCAAUAAGCAAUACCAGCGCCGGCCGUGUCCGAAUGCAGAUCAAUUGAGGAUAGGGAAGGUAGUGAUGACGUGAAUCUCGCUUAGGCCAAUAACCGAGGAAUUAUCUGCGUUACUACGAGAAAUCACCAGGAGUUUGGAUAUGGGAAGGGAAUAUGUAUUAGGGAUUUUGUCUUGGUAAACAAAUUGCUACAAUCAACGGACCGAUUCUGUUUUGUUUUACGAUGAACGAUGCACAAGCAAUAAAUCCCAUUGAAAUCGUCCCCACAUUCGCGUUAUUUUCAAGGAAUAUUUACCGUAAGGGGUCGAGCACUUUUCCAUGCGAAAACAAGCUAAAAACAAAAUCCUAUCGCGCGUCUCCACUCCGUUAGGAAGCAGAAGUCUUCAAUCCAUUUCACACAGAAUUGAACUGAACGCGACGUUUAGCCUAGUUUUAAUGUGACAUCAUCACACAUCAUCACGAUCAAAAACAAAAAUAUAUAUCUCAAUUUACAUACCUCAAACAAAAAAAAAGAAGUUAAUCAAAAAAAUAGUAAAACCACUUCAAUAAAAACUGUCUUCACACCCGCGACAUUACGAAUCUAGGCCUGAAUAAAACGUGGAGAACGUGGUCUACUUGUCACUAAAUGUGUUGAAAUGUAAAAAAAAAAUCGAAAAAAAUGGAAACAAAAGUCUACUGUACGAUACGGACUUGGAUACAUGCCAAAAGUAAUUGUAGGGUGGGGCGGGGCAAGAUGGGUCACCUAAGGAUGCAUCACCAUAACUUUGUAAAUACAAAUCGUAUUGGUUUGUAUUCGUCCGCUACUCUUCAAUACACUAGUUAGCUAUGCUAAAAGUCCAUAAAAAGUUUAUUAAAUACAAAAUAUGAUGUUAAACAAGCAGUUUUGAAAAGUGAUUGAUUUUGCGCCGUGAAAAAAGUGCGGGGCAAGAUGGGUCACCUUUUAAGUAAUUCACAUUUUCUCAACGAAAAACGUCAAAAUAUAAGAUUUGUUCCGCAUUCAUAUAUGCUCCAUAUCCAUACUGAGUAAACAAGAGCUGCUAGUAAACAUUUUAUAAAUUUAUUUGGAAUAUAAAAAACUUUACGAUUCGAGUGGUCCUCAGGCGACUUGAAAAUCGAUGUUUUCACUAAAAAAUUAUCAUAAUUUUAUGUUAUAAUUUAAAGCGUUCAUUCCGCUUGAUUGAAGUCAGUUAUGAGAUAGUCUUGUAAUAAAAAAUAAAUAACUUUUGACUGCUCCAAAAAUACGUUCAAAAUUGAAGGUGACCCAUCUUGCCCCGCGGCCGUUUAUAUGGAGAUUAUAUGGGAUGUAUCGCAUAAGAAAAAUGGCUAAAAACCAUUUUAUUUUUUAUUUCCAAUGAGAGUGAAUAAUUUUUCAAUCAAUGCCCCGAACUUUUGUAUAUUCAUGCUGGUCAUCUAACAAAAUUAUUAACAUAAUCAAAACAUGAGUAAUGCGCCCGAAAAUGGCACUGACCCAUCUUGCCCCGCGACCCAUCUUGCCCCGCCCCACCCUACAUCUUAUUUCCUUGAAAGUCUCGUUAAUAAAGACAAUAAUAAUAAAUCUUAUUUCCUUUUUAAAGAGGGGAAAAGUAGUUGGAACUUUCUCACCAAAUCAGCAGCUCAGCAUCCAAUUCAGGAUUCACGUCCCAAAACGACCGCAUUUUCACUCCGGUAGUUUAUACGGACGCUUCAAUUGCACCGACAUCAGUGCUACUAAUGCAGGAGCCCGGAACCACAAACACACUUUUGCACACGCGAACAGGCACUGUUUUUUUUGGAUUAAAACACGAUUUCAUAGAACCGAAAUGAAAUUAAAUUGAACGCAAACUGAAUCUUCCAAAAGGCAGUUAGAAAAUCUAAAACGAGAGCCGAUAUGCAAAACCCAUUUUCUGAAAAAAUCAGUAUUUUUGAGAAAGUGCAUGAAAAGGUUUCUAAAUGAAAGCAUUUGAAAAUUUUUGAAAAAAUCUGUAAAAAUUCAUAGAUGAAUUUCUGGAACAAUCUAUGCGAAAUUUGUUGAGAGGAAUUCUUGAAGUAUUUUCUAAGGGAAUCCAUGUAACAUUUUUUGAAGCUAUCCGUGCAAGACUUUCUUUAGGAUUUCUUCGAGGAAAUUCCGGAGGACAUUCUAAAGUCUAAAGGAAUCCCAAGAAAAAUGUGUGAAAAAAAUCCUGACUGAAUUUCUUUAGGAAUUCUAUGAUAUUUGUUUAACCGUUAUGUGGCCGGCAAACUUUUUGCUUUUUUCUACACCGUGUAUUUUAAAUGGGUGCUGGGUACCCGGGUAUCCUACCGGCCACAUAAGGGUUAAAGUAAAUCUACGAAGAGUUUUCAAAGGUUUCCAAAGUUUCUUUAAGAAUACCUGGGAGAUUUCUGUGAAAAUCUGGAAAUAUUUCUGAAUAAAUUAUUAAUCGAAUUUAUGAUAAAAUCCAUGGGAGAUUUUCUGAAAGCAUUUCUCGAAAAAAAUGUGGAAGGUCAGUUUGUAUAGGAAUCCCUGCAGAAAAUUCCUGAAUGGAUCUCACAUUCGUGGAGUAAUUUCUAAACAAAUUACAGGAAGAUUCUGGGACAGAAAUUCAGAUUUAAAAUAAAUCCCUAAAGCAAUUUCUAGAGCAAGUCCCAGAAAAAGUUUUGGAGUAAAUUCUUGGAAGAUCGUUUGGGAGAAUGCAGGAGUUUCCGAAGAAUUUUUCGGAAAAAAAUCAAGAAAUUCCCAAAAAAAUGGGGUAAUCUCUGAAAGAUUUUAUAAAUAAAUACCUGGAGGAAUUUUUGCUCAUACACAACUAUCUUACACAACAAUUUUUUUUUCGAAACUUCUGGAAGAAUCCCUAAUGGAAUUUCUGGAGAAAUUGGAAGUUUCCAAAUUAACACAGUACAAAUUUUUGAAGGAACUUUUGAAACAUCUUUUCAAAAAUUCUGGAAUAGUUUGUAAAGGCAUCGCUGCAAGUUUUAUCAAAGAAAUAUCUGGAGAAAUUUCUGAAUAAAUGUCUAAAGACAUUUUUGAAGGAAUCUGAACGAAUUUAUGAAAGAAUCCCUGGAGGAAUUUCUGCCUUAAUUCAUGAUUUUUUUUGGGACAUAAAAUGGAGAAAUUUCAGAAGUAAAUCAUAAGAUGCUUUGAAAGAUUUUUUUGUGGAAUCAGUAGAAUAGGAGGAAUUUCUAAACAAAGAAAAUUUCCGAAAGAAUCCAAGGAUUUUUUUUUGAAAGAAUCCGUGAGGGCAUUUUUGGCCGAAUACUCGGAAAAAAAUCCGUACCAUUUUUUUUGAAAGAUUUUUAGUAGAAUUUCUAAAGAAAAUUUCUGAUAGAUUUUCUAAAUGAAUCUCCAAUAAAUUCUCCAAACGAAUGACUAGAGAAUUUCUGAAGUAGUUUUUCAUUUUCGAUUUUAUAGACAUUUCGAAUAUUGAAAUGUACACUAAAUCGAGGUAUACCUGUAUAACUUUGAUUGACAUUGAGCUUCGGAUCUAAAAUAUUUAGAAUUUUGAUUCCACAUGAUCAGUGUUGCCAGCUACUAAAUAAAUUUUGUGUCACAUAAGCAAUAAUGGAUUACAUUUGAGUUACAUUACAACUAUCUCAAGCAUUCAAAUAAUCAAUAACGAUUCAUUUACACUACCCGUUUUAACUACGGUCUCUCACUUGAAAAAGUAUUCCAACAAUCAGUUAUAAACGAGUAAAUUCAUGCUGCUAUAUCUCGACAUCUUGGUAAUCUGUGAAGAUACAGUCUUCGGCAACUUUGUUCAGAAGGUCGUUUAUUUCAUAAAGGCAAGCAAUUUAAUUCGCAAUUCCACUGCCAGGCGACGCUAGUAAGCAUGUGAAAAUAAGAAUUUUUAACUAGCUCGAUCGCGCAAUCCCGAUAAGAUAAAAAGUUCAAGUUUUCGGCAAAGUUGUCUUUGGCCUCGUAAAGGUAAGCAGUUUGGUUCGCAAUUCCGCUGCUAGGUGACGCUAGUGAGCAUGUAAAAAUAAGCAUUUUUAGUUAGUUCUAUCUCGCGAUCCCGAUAGGAUAGAAAGUUCAAGUCUUCGGCAAAUUUGUACAGAAAGUCGUUUGGUUCGUAAAGACAAGCAGUUUGAUUUCUCUCCUGGCUGACGCUAGUGAGCAUGUAAAAAACAUUUUGAACCAGCUUUACCCGUUUUAGUUUCAACAGUAAAUAAGUCGCACUCGCUCUUCGUAUAUACACGGUGGCAGAAUUCGCUCAUUUUCAUGUAAAGUGGAACAACACAAAAAUGAGUAAAUUGCAUUUCCAGUUCUAGCGCUGGCAUAAGUGUGAAAAUCUCUGUGCUCAUUCUAUGAGUCCAGUGACGUGGCACAGCUCGACUCGUGUAUCGAGGUGAGAAAUCUCGAAUCGAAUGAGGUGAUUCUCCAUUUGAUUUGCCCGGCGAGUCACUUCAUUUGAGUCGAUCUUUCUCACCUCUAAGUACGAGUCCGAGUUGUGUCGCUUCACUCCAUUCGCAGAAUGAACCCAGUCAGUUUAAGCAGUAAGAAUAUUAUAUGGCUUAAAUAGAUUGGAUUUUUGCACUUAGCCUGGCGCUGGCACUGGAAAAUUUGCUCAUUUUUUGUGCUUUAGCUUUUAGCUCAGAUUUGUGUGAAUGUUACUAAUUUGUGUCAUGGAUUGGCUUGGUAGCAUAAUUGGUAAACAACGUGCCUAGCAGUAGCGUACAAGGGUUGUGAGUGAGUUCAAAUCCCACCUGAGCUUUGGUUUUUUGAAUAUCACUCAUAAUUUGUCUAUUUGUACAUUUCACUCAUAUCUUAAUCCUAGUAAGAUGUUGGGGUCAAUAUGACACAGAUAGGCAUGCUGAACGUGCACUACACCAUCGUGAUGCGAAAUACCUAACAUCCUAGGAGGGUUAACUGUUUGUACAUUUAGUUAGUUAGAAAUCUUUGUCAUUCUAGGAAAUUUAGCGAAAUCUUAUUCUAAAUGCACAGUGAUGCCAUGUAGCGACAGAAAGUAAUAUUUGCCUUAAAUGAUGUUUUCAAUUUGCAGAACAAUUAUUGAACCGGGCUUCAAUCCAUUGAUGAGGUGUGAAGGUUUAUAAAUAGCUCUUUGGCUUGACUGAAAAAGUCUGUUCCUGACAGAAUACACAGCGUAACAAAAAUUAACUUUUGGUCUGUCUCAAGAGCAAACUAAUGUAUCUCUGACAGAUUUUGGGCCGCUGAAUCCGAAUCCGCGCUCAGAUUUGCUCCAACACGUCACAAUUUUGAGCUCAAUUUAUAGGGCAAAAUAUGCGAUUUUGGGCUUUUUGACAGCAAGCCAUUAAGAAUGGAAAUAUAUGUUUUAACCCUUUGGAGCCGGAGGGGUCAUAUAUGACCCCGGCGAUGAAACCGAGCAUAACAAACGUGUUCGACACCAGCGAGGUUGCGUCGACAGUGGCGAAAAAAAUCGGCUCCAAAAGGUUAAGCAAUCAAAAGGUUAAUUGGUCAAUUAACAUCUAAAUUAACGACUCAUGCAAAAUAUUUCGUUUUACCAAAUCGAAUUUGACAGUUUUAAGCGAUUUAUGUUAGGUACGAUAUUUCCCAUACAAGUCACCCUCCAAAAGUUGCAUGCAAGUUUUCAUACUAACAUAAAAUGCUUAAAUCUAUUAAAUUUGAUUAGGUAAAAUGAAAUAUUUUGCAUGAGUCGUUAAUUUAGAUGUUAACUGACCAAUUAACCUUUUGAUUGCUUAAAAAAAUAUUUCCAUGCUUAAUGGCUUGCAGUUAAAAAAGCCCAAAAUCGCAUAUUUUGCCCUAUAAAUUGAGGUAUAGCUCAAAAUUGUGACGUGUUGGAGCAAAUCUGAGCCCGGAUUCGGAUUCAGCGGCCCAAAAUCCUUCGGAGACACAUAAGUUUGCUCUUGAGACAAAAAAAAUGUUGCGCUGUGAUAUCAAUUCUAGCGAGCCUCUAAGUCUAAUUUGAUCGAUCAUCUUGAACAACGACAGUGAAAGUUUACGAGCUCAUAACGCAUGUCAGGUGGCCGCACUUUCACUUUUCCAAAUGCUAAUCAUCUUGCCAAGGACUUCUUAUGCAGCUAUUUCCGUAAACUUCACAGUUGAGUUAGUAUAGUACAAAUACGUAGAUUAACUCACUUAGCAGUGAUACUAGAGGUGCUACUCUUUAGUUGUAAAUCUAAAAGCUGAGUCAAAUGCUGUAUAUUGUUAGUUUUUCCUUUAACUAGCUGUUAUGCCGUGAAUUUAUAGCCUCUCAUCAAACCAAGUCAAACAGAAAAAAAAACAAAUAUGUAUUCCGAGCAAUCUCAAGCUCACGGACCCGCAAUCAUCGUUGAGAGGUUGUGAUUGCCGUCUGCGACACAUUCAAUGACCCCGCUCUCUGCAACCCAAGAGCACACUAGUGCACGAGGAAACGAGGAAAGGGUCGUAUGGGUUGUUACUGGUCAUGAGAGAAUGCGUGGUGCACUUGAAAAACGUUUCCCAACAUGCAAAGCUCAACUAAAACACGGGCGACAACAGUAAGUGCCCCCCACCAGCUACUAUAGCCCAGCCCCAGGACACACUGACUGUGUGGGGGCUUGGCCCCUCCUGGUUCUAAUCACCUCUCCGUCCCGUCGCUACUAUUGACCAAGCGGUCGGCCUGCGUUUUGGUCAAGACCAAAGCAGAGCGAGUACCUAACCUACCUAUAGCGUGCAAACGCACACCUCCGGAGGAAGCUCCGGAGAAAAAAAGAAGUCUUACGUGUAAACGAAACAAAAUUGACCACUUGGGCGUUAAUCGGAUUAAUGUUUAUUUAAUUAGGGAACGACAUAAUUGCGGUUGCAGUCCCACGCAAUGCGGGGAAUGGACGCCACACCAGCCGGACCAGAUUUAAGGUUUGUCGGGGAAAAUGUGAGGAAAAUGCGUUGGUGUAUGUUGGAAAAGCAGAGGAACUUCCUUCAUAACAAUACAAAUAGAGAAAAAAAAAACACAAUCUAAGCCUCUAUUUAUUCUCAUCACCUACUAAUUCUGAGUGAGUAUUGUUAAGUGUAAAAAAUCAGUGUAGAACGCAAAAGAUGUCCCUGAUAUUGAAUCAUCCGGUAAGACUGUUCUAGUUGGUAAACGCCUACGUAUUUUAAAGUCGAAAUUCCUCAAAAUGUUGUUCAUCAACCAAAAACACAAUCGUUGUACUCUUAAAGCAGCAAAUGGAAAAAUUACAUUUCCGCUUUUGCAAUGACGAUCAUCCGCGUUCUUCGGCGCCAAAUGGCAGUAGCUACAGAAUUUUUAAUAAAGUAAAUCAGAUUGCGUUUCGCAUAAAUUAGAUCCGAGGUGUGCGAGAAUGGAACACGGGCGGAACACGAACUGGUAAAUAGUAAAUUCUAGGUAACAGCCCGCGUAGAAUACGGUGAAUGAUAAUUUGAUGCGACAGUAAAAACCCCUUAAGCGAAUACUCGACACUUUUGGUUCCGUUCUGCCGAAAUUUUCUUUCUGCUUUCGGGGAGAUGGGACGCUGCUUUGAGUUGAUUUGCACGAACGAAUGGAAAGCAACGUGGAAUGAACGUAAAUGCUUUUGGAAUAAAAUGUGUUAAUGAUGUUGCAACAAAAAAUUGCUGGAGGGCUUCCCUAGUAAACUGGAUUCACAGUCUUAAGAGUAUCUAGGAUAAAAUUAUCUAGGAAUGUUGUUUGAAUUAUAAUACUCGAAAUAUAUUUUCGUUGCUCCGAAAUGUCUAAAACAGGAUCAUGGAAAACUGUCAAAUAUUUUUAAACAACGUGCUCGUUUCUACCAGACAAGGUUUAUUUUUUUCUGGCAAAAAAAAGCCUAGCCUCCGAGGACGCCAAAAGCGGAAGCCACGAGACAAGGGAGACCCACCGGAAUGAAACCUACCAGAUAAUCCUUGAUUGCAGCAGACAUCGGCCCGGUUGUUGAUGGGUGUGAGAGAAUUUUUGAGCUCCAACACUGUAGAACGGUAAUGCGAUAAAAAUGUUUCCUCCUCGUUGCUUUGGAAGGGAAAUAUUUACAAGGGCGAAAAAAAAAUAGACAAACACAAUCUGGAGCACCAAAAGCACAGCAGCAGCAUGUCUGUUUCGGCAAUUACCUGCAAGGUGUUUGGCUGCGAUUUUUUUUUCUCGAUGAUGGUGCGGUGUUCGCAGUCCUUGCAUGAUAAUUGCUCGGCAGUGUUUAAUGUGUUUUGGAAUCGUUCCAGUAAUAAUGCGUCGUUGUCGAUGGAGGUCUAGGGCCAAAGAGAGAAG